Molecule: long non-coding RNA, 5638 nt
Organism: Globicephala melas (long-finned pilot whale)
Lineage: Eukaryota; Metazoa; Chordata; Mammalia; Artiodactyla; Delphinidae
Source: RefSeq, a predicted model, not a curated record
ACAGGGAGCCGAUCUGACCCUGCCCGCUUGUGAAUGGCUGCAGUUAAGAAGAAAUUAACACAUCUCCUCCUAUUUUGCAAGAUAAAUGGCCUUUUGUACUUUACUUCUUCACCUUCUCUCCCUCUCUGUUCUGUAAAAGAAACUGGCAUCCAGACCCCGAUAAGAUGGUUUUUUGGGAACAUCUUCUCGGUCUGCCGGCUUUCUGAAUGAAAUCGCUCUUCCUUGCCUCACCACUUCCUGUCCCGAUUUAUUGGCCUGCCGUGCGGCGAGCAGAGCGAGCUUGGACUCGCUCUGUCUCCGAGGUUCGAUUCAGCACUGGUGUACAGAGAAGCUGAGCUUUCGACAUCACAGGAAGAAAUAGCCUUUUCUAUGGUGAUGACCAGAAGUUUUCCUCAGCACACCUCUCAGCUUCUCCUUCCAGCUUCAACACUCUGGGAACCUGCCAUACUUGAUCUCUUUGGAGAGGUAUUCUGGGACAAAUCGUCUAGAUACAGAAAAUGUUAAGAGGUAACUGGCACAGAAUUAACAGCUUUCAUACUUGGCUACAAGACAGUCUUCUCUAGUUUCCCAUAUAUUUCUUGACCUGAUGCAUUUAAGGACGUUUGAAAUCACAUUAUUUUGAAGUGUCUUAAUUUUGCUUAUAUUGGGUUGUGGAAGUUUCAGAUUAGGUUUAUCCUCUCAAGGCAAUCUGAUCUUAUUGGCUCUGUAUCCUUCAGAAAUAACUGAAUAAUUGAUUUACUAGGGACUUCUCUUGGUUUUUUAGGACCUCCAAGUCUUUAACUGUUUAUUUACUAUAUUUUGUGACUUCUAUAAUCUCAGUGGGAUUUUUGAAGGAAGAAGAGAUUAAAACAUGCCCUUAGUCAGCCAUUUUGAAACCCCAAGUCUCUCUUUUUUUUUAGGUAAUAUUAUCACAGUGAGGGAACAGAAAAAACAGUUAAUACCAAUCAGAGUUUAAUACAGAGUACGGUUCUAUGAGUUAUACAUGGACAUAUAAACAGCAGUUGAAAUCUAAUCCCUAUUAGAAGGAAAUGCACAUUCUUAAAUGUGAUUAUUUUAACUUCAUUAUGAUUAAUUUUAAUAAAAUUACAUACAGUUUUCUGGAAUCCAGUUUAUCAUUAAUUAAAAUGAAAGGUAUGAUUAAUACAUCCACAUUAAAAGUGUUUUUAAAAAUUAAGCAAGAAAAAAAUACACUAAUAAAGUAAAUGUGUAUUUUAUUACUAAAUAAGGAAAGUUAAUUGGUUUGAAAUAAUUAGAAAUAGACAUAUCCUAGAUUUAAAUUGGGUGUAGAAUAGAAAUCCCACAAAGAAUGUAACUUUAAUUCAAAAGGUAAUACAGUGAAUUUUACAAAUCAUAACUUGAGUGUGGGUGGAAAAUCACUUCAGUUUCUUUUUUUUGUUUUUGUUCUUUUUUUGCGGUACACGGGCCUCUCACUGUUGUGGCCUCUCCCGUUGCGGAGCACAGGCUCUGGACGCGCAGACUCGGCGGCCAUGGCUCACGGGCCCAGCCACUCCGCGGCAUGUGGGAUCUUCCUGGACCGGGGCACGAACCUGUGUCCCCUGCAUCGGCAGGCGGGCUCUCAACCACUGCGCCACCAGGGAAGCCCUCGGUUUCUUUUUAAAGUGUGCAUUCCUGGUCCUCAUUUCCAAAUAUCCUAAUGAGAUUCACAAGAAACUAAAUUCCUAACAAGAAUCCCCAGGUAAUUCUAAUGAGAGACACUGUUCCAAGAGAGUAUGUACUCAUUUUACCACUCAAUAAAAGAGCUCAACAGAAAUAGUUAAUCAGAUUUGAUAAUGCUGCAGCAAUGCUAACUAUGAGAGUAAUAGUAAUAAUUACAAUUACAAGAGCAAACAAAUUAAUAGCUUUAUAGUUGUCAGUCUGCUAUGAACUUUCUUUUAAUGGUUUCUACCAAUCCUUAUAAAAAUCUGAGUUCCUACAAAUUAAGUUUAUACUUCUGAUAAAGAAUUUAGUCUAAGAAAAGAGAAGCUAUUUGUCUAUGUCCUGUAAGUAGCAAGCAUCAGCACUCUCUCACAGCAGAGACUUCUCCCAUAAUCCUCCCUGCUAGGCACUUCUAUUUAAAAUCAUAAUUUUAAUAGUGCAAGUUGAAAACAACAUAUAUUUAUAUAAUUACUAUGUACCAUGUUAAUGUAUCACAUGACUAAUAGAAAGACACCUUUCUGAUGUUGAUUCUUCCCAUACAAGAGCAAGGUAUUUACUUCCAUUAGUCAUAUCUUUUUUGAAGACUCUCCAUAAUGCUUCACUAUUUUAUCUAUUGAAUUUCUAAAAUGUAUUGAAUGAGUUAUUUCUAAAUAUGUAAAUUUUUGUUCUAUUGUAACAGAGUUUUUUUUUUUCUUUCUAUGAUGUUUCUUAUCAAUUUUUAUUAGGAGAAGUAAUUUUGGUAGAUGAUUAGAUCACCAAUUUAACACAUUGCUUAUUUUAAUUUUUUGUUACAUUACUAAAAUUUUCUAGGUAAUGUAUCUGUAAAUUGUUAAAAUUUUAUACCACUUAUGCCUCUCAUAAUCAUAUGAUAAUUGAAAAAAUGCAUAUUAAUCAAGAACUGUGUCAAGCACUGCAUUGAGUGUUGGAGUGAAAAAAACAAAAAGCAAAACCUUGCCUCAUUAAACUUACAAUUUACUGGUAAUCUCAGGCAUUUGCCAAAUAAUCAUACAGAAAUAUAAUUCCAAAUUGGAUAGGUUCCAUUAAGAAAAUACAGAAAGUUUUUUUUUCAAUGAAUUUAUUAUUUUAUUUAUUUAGUUUUGGCUGCAUUGGGUAUUCGUUGCUGCACACAGGCUUUCGCUAGUUGCACGCAGGCUUUCUGUAGUUGUGGCGAGCAGGGACUACUCUUUGUUGCGGUGCGAGGUCUUCUCAUUGCAGCGGCUUCUCUUGUUGUGGAGCACUGGCUCUAGGAACGCGGGCUUCAGUAGUUGUGGCUUGCGGGCUCUAGAACGCAGGCUCAGUAGUUGUGGUCCACAGGUUUAUUUGCUCCGCAUGUAGGAUCUUCCCGAACCAGGGCUCAAACCCGUGUCCCCUGUAUUGGCAGGCAGACUCUUAACCACUGCGCCACCAGGGAAGCCCAAGAAAAUACAGAAAGCUUUUAAUGUAUGCCACGGGCAUGUGAUUAGCAGUUCAGAUUUUAGAGAAAUGCUGCAGUUAACUAGAAGUGUUACGGAAUAUUAUUUUACAUGGGUGGCACUAUUUGAAAGCUCCAGGCAUGAGGGAAAACAGGGCACAAUGGAGAGCCUAGGGCCUGGUGACUGAGGCAGAGACCACAAAGGGGAAUGAGAUACGAGAGUGUAUUAUCUACUGCUGUGUAAGAAAUUACCUAAUUUUAAUGGUUUCUAACAAUAAAAAUGUAUUUUCUAACAGUUUUUGGGAGUCAGGGAUCAGAGUGUGACUUAGUUAAGUGCCUUUGUCUAACAUCAAUACUGAAAUUAUAGUCUGUAGGCCACCUGGGGCUCUGGUCACACCUAUAGACUCAAAGUGAGGAGGGAUAAAUCCAGUUACAAGUCCAUUCAUGUGGUUGUUGGCAAGUCUCUGUCCCUCGACACAUGAGCCUCCUACAGGGCUGCUCGACAAGGUGGCCUAACAUGGUGAUCAAAUCCAAGAAAGCAUGAGAGAAAGCAGCCAAGAUGGAAGCCAGUCUUUUUACAGCCUAAUCUUGGAAAUGACAAGUCACCCCUUCUGCUAUUCUAUGUUACAAAGGGCUCCAUAAGUCCAGCCUCCACCACCCACAGCCCCUCCCUCCGCGACCUACACCACCACACACACACAUGCACACUCCAUCCUUCCAAUCUUCUCCAUCUCACUGUCUAUUGUUUCUGUUCCCAGGGUGACCAUAAGCUGUGGCUGAACCAUAAAAAUCUUCACGUACACACAAGCUGACAGUGCUUUGCAAAACGCCCAUACUGUGCCCCUCUUACUCCCUGUCUGACGACUUCUUUGUUUGAGCCGUUACAGGACCUCUUUUGGCACGUUCCUUUGCACAACCUGAAAGUAUGUGGGAGUUAAUCUCCCAAGGGAUAAACUUUGAACAGUAGGAUUCAGUAAUUUGUUGGUAAAUUCAGUCCUAUUUAUCCCUUGCAUAGAAGGACCCCAAAUGAAGCUAGUAUGGAUUUUUGAGAGUGAUCAUGGUAUUCUGUAAUUUGUCUUACUUAGUGGUAGGCAGUUCAAUAAUCUAUACUUGUGUCAUCUCUCCCUUCCUCCUUGCCACUUUGUCUUUCACUUCUCCCUAGAAAUGAACAUAACUCCUCUGCCUCAGGCUCAGCUUUCUGGAAAGACUAAGCUACCAGUUUGUACUUAGAAUGCUAAUCUUCAGGGUGGAAUUUCGGAACUGAAUUUUACCCUCAACUGAAAGCAAUAAGAACACCAUGUAACAGCACAAUCACUAAAGAUUUUAUGUGUCAUUUGGAUGAGGUAUAGGUGGAAGGUGAAGAGUUCAGAUUUAUAAUGGCUAAGACACUUGAGCAGUAUGACAGCAAAAAAUAAUUAUAAGAACUGUGAAGUGGGUUGGCUUUUUAUAAACUGCUAACCAUAAGAAUGCACUGUAAACCGUUGUUAUUUUUAACCCAAAUUUUAGUAUAAAAAUAUGUGACCUUCAAAACUUAGAAGUUUGCAUUCCUAUAUCCCUUACCUAGAGUUUCCAGGUUUCAUUAUUUGCUAUAUAUCUUUUAUCUCUCACCCUCGGUCUACCUAAACAUACACUCACAACAAUACACAUUUUGAUUACAUAUUUAUCAAUUAUUUAAAACUAAGUUUCUGAUACUUCACACAAAUAUUUUAGCUUGUAUUUCAUUUUUUUUAAAAGAUAUUUUAUCUAAUUGUAAUUAUCACAUCCAGAAAAUUUAAGCCUGAUAUACAAAAUGUUCUUUAAUAUUUAUGUCAUGUGUUCAAUAUAACAAUUUUCCCCAAAUAUGCCACUGAAUAUUUUUCUAGUUGUUUUUAUUUCUUAGUUCUGAUCCAAGAUCUAAUAAAAGAUCGCAUAUGGAAUUUUCUGGUCAUCUAGAACAACCCAUAUUCCUUUUAUUUUUAUAACGACGUUUUCACAGUUGUGACUGGGAAUUUUCUUCACUUACUUCCAAAUACCAGGAAUGAACUUGACUAAGGGCUCCAAAUCCACCACUCUGAAAUCCAGCUCUGUGAUAACACUGAGGUCACAGGCUAUCUAUGGGACUCCUCUUAGAGCCGAUGUUGCCAGUAACAAUGUCCGUUUAUUUUCCAUUCUUGAUAUUGAAAUUUUUCAUUCUUAUAGGAAGCUCUUCUCCCUUUUUUCUUGGUCACUGUAACUAGAAGUUUGUCAAUUUUAUUGAACUUUUCAAAGAAUAUGCUUUUAUUUGCAUUGAUUUUUUUUAUUUUUCUAUUUUCAAUUUCAUUAAUUUCUUCUCCAUUCUUUAUUACUUCUUUCUACUUACUUUGGGUUUAGUUUGCUCUAUUUUUCUUUAAAAAUUUCUUAAGAUGGGGCUUCCCUGGUGGCGCAGUGGUUGAGAGUCUGCCUGCCGAUGCAGGGGACACGGGUUCGUGCCCUGGUCCGGGAAGAUCUCACAUGCUGCGGAGCGGCUGGUCCCGCGACCCAUGGCCACUGAGCCUGCGCGUCCAGAGCCUGUGCUCCGCAACGGGAGAGGCCACAACAGUGAGAGGGCCGCGU